Molecule: ribosomal RNA, 1059 nt
Filed under: Macrostomum sp. 38 JNB-2019
Lineage: Eukaryota; Metazoa; Platyhelminthes; Macrostomidae
Description: partial large subunit ribosomal RNA
Rfam family: Eukaryotic large subunit ribosomal RNA
Source: RNAcentral
GGGGAAGAGCCCAACACCGAAUCCCUCAGCGUAAAGCUGGCGGGAAAUGUGGUGUUAAGGUUGCCCUUCGUGCCGAACUGAAUGUCUCAAGUCCACCUGAUUGUGGCUCAAGCCCAGAGAGGGUGUAAGGCCCGUAGAGGCGUUCGGAUCGGUGCCCGGAGUUAACCUACGAGUCGGCUUGUUUGGGACUGCAGGCCAAAGUGGGUGGUAAGCUCCAUCCAAGGCUAAAUACUUGCACGAGUCCGAUAGCGGACAAGUACCGUGAGGGAAAAUUGAAAAGAACUUUGAAGAGAGAGUUCAAUAGUACGUGAAACCGCUUAGAGGCAAACGGAUGGUGCUCAAAUUGGCUCGGGGAAUUCAGCCGCGUUGAGUUGGUGGGUGGAUUGGUGUCCAGAUUUUAAUUAAAUAAGAACUGGUGCUAGUCUUCCAACCGCCUUCGACACGGUGCACUUUCCCCGGUUUUGCCUUCGCCACGACCGACGAUACUGGCCACCCGCGGCUGGGGUAAGGUGCCAGGCUACCCCGGUAGUCUGUUCUUAUAGACCUCGGCGUCGGACUUUGUUUGGGCAGGACGUCGGAGCUAGCGGUGCCCGCCCCUUGUGGGCUCGUAUGCCGGUUAGUUUGGUUGCGCCGACGCUAGCACUGGUAACCAGUGUUGGUGACGGUUGUGGCCUUGCCAAUUGGUCUCUGCGAGUUUGGCACCUAUAGUCUGUGGUGUUCCAGUGGGUAGACCAUCCGACCCGUCUUGAAACACGGACCAAGGAGUCUAACAUGUGCGCGAGUCAUGGGGACUUUACGAAGCCCAAAGGCGUAGUGAAAGUAAAGGCCUGCUUCAGUAGGCUUAGGUGGGAUCUCGUGCAUUGCGAUUGGCGAGCGCACCACCGGCCCGUCCCAUCUGUCUCUGUCAGUGGGGCGGCGCAAGAGCGUACACGUUGGGACCCGAAAGAUGGUGAACUAUGCUUGCGCAGCUCGAAGUCAGUGGAAACACUGAUGGAGGAGCGCAGCGUUUCUGACGUGCAAAUCGAUCGUCAAACGUGAGUAUAGGGGCGAAAGACUAAU